Saccostrea echinata is the source of this 262-nucleotide long non-coding RNA. RefSeq lists it as uncharacterized. NCBI's taxonomy places the organism in Eukaryota, Metazoa, Mollusca, Bivalvia, Ostreida, Ostreidae. The transcript is spliced from 3 exons. The record is from RefSeq and is a predicted model, not a curated record.
UGUAUUGUGAUAUAUUUAAAUUGUUACCUUGGAGAUAUUUUUUAUGGGAAGUAUAUAGUAUGUUAUCCUUAGAGAAAGACCAUCAAAGAUGAAUGAUUACAAUCGCUUGCCAUACAAUACGUCCACCUUUCCACCACCAGGGAAUCAUCCACAGCUCUGUGUUUUCCAGUCUGCCACCAAAAAAGAAUUGGAUAUGUGCUAGCUGUUAUAGUUGUCUGAUAUGAUUUAAUGAUCUGGUGAAUCACAGCUUCAUGAUGGUCCA